This 374-nucleotide ribosomal RNA is filed under the name Sphingomonas sp. oral taxon A66. Its description in RNAcentral is "bacterial SSU rRNA". It matches the Rfam family "Bacterial small subunit ribosomal RNA", at positions 29 to 428 of the family's 1533-position model. Lineage: Bacteria; Pseudomonadati; Pseudomonadota; Alphaproteobacteria; Sphingomonadales; Sphingomonadaceae. The record is from RNAcentral.
AACGAACGCUGGCGGCAUGCCUAACACAUGCAAGUCGAACGAACCCUUCGGGGUUAGUGGCGCACGGGUGCGUAACGCGUGGGAGUCUGCCCUUUGCUUCGGAAUAACAGUUGGAAAUGACUGCUAAUACCGGAUGAUGUCUUCGGACCAAAGAUUUAUCGGCAAAGGAUGAGCCCGCGUAGGAUUAGGUAGUUGGUGGUGUAAAGGCCUACCAAGCCGACGAUCCUUAGCUGGUCUGAGAGGAUGAUCAGCCACACUGGGACUGAGACACGGCCCAGACUCCUACGGGAGGCAGCAGUGGGGAAUAUUGGACAAUGGGCGCAAGCCUGAUCCAGCAAAUGCCCGCGUGUGUGAAGAAGGCCUUCGGGUCGUAA